This is a long non-coding RNA of Macrobrachium nipponense, 372 nucleotides long. RefSeq lists it as uncharacterized. The record is from RefSeq and is a predicted model, not a curated record. The transcript has 3 exons. NCBI's taxonomy places the organism in Eukaryota, Metazoa, Arthropoda, Malacostraca, Decapoda, Palaemonidae.
CUCAGCGGGUAAAGAGGCGCUCCUGAGUAGUUCAUGGUGUUGUUUAAUAGUUUAUCGUGAUCCGCCAUUGAGCUUGUGUCAUAAAAAGUGGCGCCAGUAACAUCAAUCCAUUAGGCCAAAAUGAAGAAUGUUAUCUAAGUGGACAGAUAUAAUUGGCAGCGCGAAGAGGAAAACUUUAUUGUUUCAUUACUUAAAAUGUUCACCACGAACAAAAUACAGAACACCCGGAAAUAGAUGACCAGCUUGUUAUAGGAGAGAAGUCACCUGUCUAUCGUGUCAACCCCUUAUCGAGAAAGGUACUGUACAGAAAUCCUGCUUAUUUGCCUUCUAUCGUUUAAACCUCUAGAACCUCCUGUAGUCUUAAUUAAGGUA